This 66-nucleotide transfer RNA is filed under the name bovine gut metagenome. It matches the Rfam family "tRNA", at positions 5 to 66 of the family's 71-position model. From Rfam's summary of the family: Transfer RNA (tRNA) molecules are approximately 80 nucleotides in length. The record is from RNAcentral.
CAAUAGCUCAGCUGGUAGAGCAGGAGACUCUUAAUCUCUUGGUCGUGGGUUCGAAUCCCUCUUGGU